GAUGAACGCUGGCGGCGUGCCUAAUACAUGCAAGUCGAGCGAACAGACGAGGAGCUUUCUCCUCUGACGUUAGCGGCGGACGGGUGAGUAACACGUGGAUAACCUACCUAUAAGACUGGGAUAACUUCGGGAAACCGGAGCUAAUACCGGAUAAUAUAUUGAACCGCAUGGUUCAAUAGUGAAAGACGGCUUUGCUGUCACUUAUAGAUGGAUCCGCGUCGCAUUAGCUAGUUGGUAAGGUAACGGCUUACCAAGGCAACGAUGCGUAGCCGACCUGAGAGGGUGAUCGGCCACACUGGAACUGAGACACGGUCCAGACUCCUACGGGAGGCAGCAGUAGGGAAUCUUCCGCAAUGGGCGAAAGCCUGACGGAGCAACACCGCGUGAGUGAUGAAGGUCUUCGGGUCGUAAAACUCUGUUGUUAGGGAAGAACAAAUGUGUAAGUAACUAUGGACGUCUUGACGGUACCUAAUCAGAAAGCCACGGCUAACUACGUG
Molecule: ribosomal RNA, 497 nt
Filed under: uncultured bacterium
Lineage: Bacteria
Description: partial 16S ribosomal RNA
Rfam family: Bacterial small subunit ribosomal RNA
Source: RNAcentral